GUCCGUUCAUCCCUUAUGGGACGCAUGACACCCAAGCAUGGAACGGGGCUUGGU
This 54-nucleotide non-coding RNA is filed under the name unclassified sequences. The record is from Rfam.